GGUGAUCAGUGAGAUUUUCCACGCCUUAGGAAAGUGUUCAAGGCGGAGGAUAGCGUUAAAGAUUGAUGCGAUGAGUGCAAUCCCUUUUAUGGGAAGUUCCUUGAUUGCUUUAUUUCCUAUUUGGUCGUGACCUGCUGCUUUCUUGGGGUUUAGGCGACUGAUUGCUUCUAUGAUCUCUGCAGAAGUGAAGGGUUCAAUAGGAGGGGACAUUUGGAAGGGAGUGUGCAGGUAUUCGGUGACGUCCGCUGCAGCUAUGGAGGAAUGGGGUUUGAAUACUUCAGUCAAGUGUUUGGCAAAUAGUUCCGCCUGGGCAGGCGACCUAAACGGACGUGCGAAACAGUGCUCCAGUGAAAGUGCGGCAAGAGGGAAGAGAAAGGGACAAAGUAAACGCCAAAAAUCGACAAAACGUGGAAUCAUGCAGACUCCACCAAUAAAAAUAGUUAAUUCCGGUGAAACAUAUUUCAUAAAUAAAG
Molecule: unclassified non-coding RNA, 473 nt
Filed under: Bombus terrestris (buff-tailed bumblebee)
Lineage: Eukaryota; Metazoa; Arthropoda; Insecta; Hymenoptera; Apidae
Description: misc RNA ENSBTSG00005022461.1
Source: RNAcentral